RNAcentral lists this small RNA (64 nucleotides) under Desertifilum tharense IPPAS B-1220. RNAcentral's name for it is "Desertifilum sp. IPPAS B-1220 Cyanobacterial functional RNA 1". It matches the Rfam family "Cyanobacterial functional RNA 1". Lineage: Bacteria; Bacillati; Cyanobacteriota; Cyanophyceae; Desertifilales; Desertifilaceae. The record is from Rfam by way of RNAcentral.
GCGGAGACGCAUGUUUCCGUUCACUCCUCACACCACACUCCGCCUGAACACCGUUCAGGCGGUU